UGCGUAGGCGGAAUAUUAAGUCAGUGGUGAAAUCCUGCGGCUCAACCGUAGAACUGCCAUUGAUACUGAUGUUCUUGAAUGUAGUUGAGGUAGGCGGAAUGUGUAAUGUAGCGGUGAAAUGCUUAGAUAUUACACAGAACACCGAUUGCGAAGGCAGCUUACUAAACUAUGAUUGACGCUGAUGUACGAAAGCGUGGGGAGCGAACAGGAUUAGAUACCCUGGUAGUC
RNAcentral lists this ribosomal RNA (228 nucleotides) under uncultured bacterium. RNAcentral describes it as "partial 16S ribosomal RNA". It matches the Rfam family "Bacterial small subunit ribosomal RNA", at positions 568 to 795 of the family's 1533-position model. The record is from RNAcentral.